Cebus imitator (Panamanian white-faced capuchin) is the source of this 354-nucleotide long non-coding RNA. RefSeq lists it as uncharacterized. NCBI's taxonomy places the organism in Eukaryota, Metazoa, Chordata, Mammalia, Primates, Cebidae. The record is from RefSeq and is a predicted model, not a curated record. The transcript is spliced from 4 exons.
CAUCUAAUUUCCCACAGUGCUCACAAAACAACCACUUGAAAAGAGCUGAAGUAAUGCCUAUGGCUUCACUGAUGAAGACCACACUCCCCAGCCUCCUUAUAACCAACCUGUCUGUUCAAAUCCAUUCUCUUCAAGAAAAUGAGAACAAUAUUUAUGUGUGCAGCUUCCAGCCCAUCAUCCAGUUCCCUGUCUUCUGAAAGGUGUACCCUGAUUUUGCUCUGUGGAAUCAUCCUUGUCCUGUCUUUCAGCCCAUGUCCUUCUGCUCUUUCUCUUCAAACUUCCUUAACAUACCUUGGCUUAGUUGUUCUGCUGAUUUUCUAAAAGAAGAAGCUCCUUUGAAUAACAUGGAGGAGA